AUGAGAUCUGAGCGGUUGUUAUUGGUGUGUCGUUGUUGGUGGCUCGGAUCGCGUGAACAGGGGUGUCACGCGAUUUGGAGAGGUAGCUCUGACGGUAGAGGUUACAGAUGGUGGCGGUGGAGUGAAGUACAGAGAAAAGAUAGUGAAGCAGUAAUUAUUUUUUCUUUUUGUACUGUAAUUGUUUUUCUCCCUCUCUCUCUCUCUUGUACUUGUCCCUGUACUGUUUUUGUCCGGCCCUUUUCCUUCCAUUUUGUUUUGAUUUUAUAG
Molecule: non-coding RNA, 267 nt
Organism: Vicia faba (fava bean)
Lineage: Eukaryota; Viridiplantae; Streptophyta; Magnoliopsida; Fabales; Fabaceae
Source: the annotation of a GenBank genome assembly